This is a long non-coding RNA of Drosophila guanche, 872 nucleotides long. RefSeq lists it as uncharacterized. The transcript has 2 exons. Lineage: Eukaryota; Metazoa; Arthropoda; Insecta; Diptera; Drosophilidae. The record is from RefSeq and is a predicted model, not a curated record.
GAACUGGACUGCACCCUCAUUCAUUCAAAUGACACUGUUAAAGCAGUGCCGUUGUUAAAGCAUAACGAGCCCCAACAUCCAGCUGUCUUGCACUGCUUAUUUACAGCAUGCAUGAGUCAUCCACCCCGUUACUCCGUCCAACAGAAGCUGCGACUGCGCUGCAAACGAAUGGUGAAGAUCUUCUUGCUGGCUCAGUGCAGAGUCUCAUGCAUGUGUGUGUUUGACAGGUGCGUUUUGUUUGUGAAGCGAGUUUUCUAUAAGUCUGACGCAUGUACUCACACGCAUGUACACACACUCUCGGUUACUUAUAUGUACAUCAUUAUCAAUUUGUCGCUCGCUCUCACACACUAUUCCUUUUGAAGUAUCUCCCUCUCCCACCACAUUCUCUGUUGUAGUAUCUCUCUCCCCAACAUUUGCAGUAUCUCUCUUCUAUAUUUGCUGUUUUAGAAUCUCUCUCUCUCUCCCUUAUGUAGCGGCAACAGCAGAACAGCGGCAUGAACAAUAAUUACAUACUAAUACAAAAUGCUCGUUUGCCGCAUUUUUAUUUUCACACGCUCACAAGUGUGUUUGCUUCGCUCCGCUCUCUCGCAUUCGCUCUCUCCUUCUCUGUCUCUCUCUCUUUGUUGUGGCCGCAUCAGACGCGACUGAACACGAUGCGACUUGGCCAAGUGCUCUCUCUCUCUCCUUCACAGUUUAUUUUCGAUCGCUUUCCGUAGCAGUUGUCAUUCCUCCUCCUUUUGAGUUUUUUUUGCAAUCACUCAGAGGUCGCGCGGUGCGCUGCGGGUGUGCACUAAACAUACACAUAUAGUUACACAAAAUAUACCCAUAUAUAAGUGGAAAAUUCUUGUUGUUGUACGUCAGUUUUCCCCACU